GCUAAUACCGCAUAACAUAUACUGAUGGCAUCGUUGGUAUAUCAAAGAUUUAUCGCCGAAGGAUGGGCUCGCGUCUGAUUAGCUAGUUGGUGAGGUAACGGCUCACCAAGGCUGCGAUCAGUAGCCGAGUUGAGAGACUGAACGGCCACAUUGGGACUGAGAUACGGCCCAGACUCCUACGGGAGGCAGCAGUGGGGAAUAUUGGGCAAUGGGCGCAAGCCUGACCCAGCAACGCCGCGUGAAGGAAGAAGGCUUUCGGGUUGUAAACUUCUUUUGACAGGGACGAAACAAAUGACGGUACCUGUAGAAUAAGCUCCGGCUAAAUACGUGC
RNAcentral lists this ribosomal RNA (331 nucleotides) under uncultured Oscillospira sp. Its description in RNAcentral is "bacterial SSU rRNA". It matches the Rfam family "Bacterial small subunit ribosomal RNA", at positions 162 to 508 of the family's 1533-position model. Lineage: Bacteria; Bacillati; Bacillota; Clostridia; Eubacteriales; Oscillospiraceae. The record is from RNAcentral.